AAGUAUUAUAGCCCUUUUAGAAUUUGUCUAACAAUUUUUCUGUUUUUUACCGGAAAACCU
RNAcentral lists this small nuclear RNA (60 nucleotides) under Carlito syrichta (Philippine tarsier). Its description in RNAcentral is "U7 small nuclear RNA (ENSTSYG00000023997.2)". It matches the Rfam family "U7 small nuclear RNA". From Rfam's summary of the family: Animal histone pre-mRNAs are spliced by a different mechanism than nuclear pre-mRNAs and self-splicing introns. This processing involves the U7 snRNP, which contains only one RNA species: U7. The record is from Rfam by way of RNAcentral. Lineage: Eukaryota; Metazoa; Chordata; Mammalia; Primates; Tarsiidae.